RNAcentral lists this ribosomal RNA (252 nucleotides) under uncultured bacterium. RNAcentral describes it as "partial 16S ribosomal RNA". It matches the Rfam family "Bacterial small subunit ribosomal RNA", at positions 524 to 776 of the family's 1533-position model. The record is from RNAcentral.
UACGUAGGAUGCAAGCGUUGUCCGGAAUUAUUGGGCGUAAAGUGCGCGCAGGCGGUUAUGAAAGUCUGAUGUUAAAGCCCGGGGCUCAACCUCGGUUCGCAUUGGAAACUGUGUAACUUGAGUGCAGAAGAGGAAAGUGGUAUUCCACGUGUAGCGGUGAAAUGCGUAGAUAUGUGGAGGAACUCCAGUGGCGAAGGCGACUUUCUGGUCUGUAACUGACGCUGAGGCGCGAAAGCGUGGGGAGCAAACAGG